Molecule: long non-coding RNA, 504 nt
Filed under: Lactuca sativa (garden lettuce)
Lineage: Eukaryota; Viridiplantae; Streptophyta; Magnoliopsida; Asterales; Asteraceae
Description: long non-coding RNA (LSAT_LNC001589)
Source: RNAcentral
GAGGGGGUUCCCUUGGCGAUUGAGUCGAGGAGGCAAUUUUCAGUUUAGCUUGGGACGAUCUGAUGCAAAUAUUUUGUUUUUUUCUCAGAUAAGAAAGAAAAAUUAGCUAACUAAUAUCUAAAUAUUCCCAAACGGAUACGCAAGCCCACACAUAUAUAUUUAACAAAAAGAGAAAGAGUUUGAGUUUCAGAACAGAUAUACCAGACUAUGCGUCGAGCAAUAGUAAACUUUUCGCGCCUGAAUUUUUUUUUAUUUUUCAAUUUCUGCUCUGAUGGCCCUGUUCUGUUUGUAGUGUAGAACAAACGAUCAAAAGCUCAGGACCUGAUCCGUCCUAACGAAGCGUAGAUAUGAAAAACAAGUUCAAAAUUUUGAAAAAUAAAAUUUAAACAUUUGAACCUUUCCGAUAUUAUUUUUAGAGGCUUAGAAGUGUAGAGAAAGUAAACAGAAAAAGAUUUAUACCUUCCGAGUUUAAUUCCGAAAAAAAUGAGAAUCUUGUUGAAUUUU